ACUAUUUUUGCGAGGUUUUGGAAAACACAAUACAUGAUAAAAUAUAAUUUAAACAUAAUACUCUUCUUUCUGGUUAAAACAUAUUUCUUUCAACCACAGUAAAUAUUAGAAAAAAUAAUAGGACUAAUGUAUUUUUAACAAACCCUUACUUUCCUAAUAUCUAUGUUGCUCUUUUAGAAAAUGGUAUAAAAUCAAAGACACUGGUCUUUUUCUUCCUUGCUAUAGCUUUUGCAAUAUUAAAAGUAUGAAAUUGCCAUCUAUGUCCUGAAGGAACUAUUUAAAAAAAAAAGGAAAUCUUAAAGAAUUCCCCAAGGAAUUUUCCCUUCAUUCACCAACUUGAAACUGUUUUCUUCCCCCAUGGUUAAAUAUUUAACAUGUUGCUGCUAUAUAAGAAUCAUCUUUAUGUUAAUUAUUCUAAUUAUAGACAACCUUCCAUAUUUUCCAGCACUAAAUGCUACUUUGUUUGACCAAUUAAAUUUUAGAUUACUCAGUAGAAGUCUGUUUAUAAUUCUGACUGUUCGGUUGUACCAUCAUCUCAGUUUACAAAUUAACUUUUUAAUUUGAGGCUAUCAGAUACCAUAACAAGAAUGCUAACAUAUGAAUAGUUUAAUCAGUUUUCAUUAUGCAAUAGGUGUUCAAAAGAAAUUGAGAAAUGAUGUAGUUUAGUUAGAAGUCUUACAUUUUGUGUCACAGGUUCUGUUUAAUGGCUUUUGAGAAGUAUUGCUUCAAUUCUUUUUCCAAAAAGCAAUAAAGCAGAAGUUGUUUUUACAAAGCAGAUAGAAAAUUGAUUCAAUGAUGCUGGGCAUUUUCCAAAUGUAAUGCAGUAUUUCCAGACUGUUACAUAAGUAAUAAUGGCUUUGGUAUUUAAGUAAGCAUUUCAUUAAAUGGGUUGAUUUUAGUUCUAAAACUAAGGCUAGCAUCACUAAAUAAUGAAUAGAUGAGAAGGAGUCAGUCAUGUAAUUUUGUGUUAAAAAAGUCACCAUUUAUGUGUAUGUGAACCUCCAAUUGAAAGGACGUGCUGAACUGUUAUAUACCUCAUCAAUUUUUAUUUCACAAACGCAGGGUUUAUUUAAGUACUUUUUUCUUUAAAAACUGUAAUAAAUUUAAUAAUGAGUUGUAAUAUCACUUUCAAUUGUCUAUAAGAAGGAAACUAACAUAAAUCUUGGGGUUUUUUCCCUUAUACUUUCAGAUUUAACCAUAUUUACUUUUAGUAAAAUGCCUCUCUUUCUCAGAAUUGCUCUUAGAAUUUAUUGAUUUCUAAACUAAAUAUCACAAAGUAAAGCAUCUCUGACUACUUCUUCCAAUUCUCUAAGAUAUGUUCAAUCCUUAUAUUCUAUCAAUUCUGAUCAGAAAUCACACAUAAUAAUGAUUAACAUUUCAUCAUUUUAAUAUUUUCAUCAACUGUCAUACUAAAAGUUGUCUUUAAAUAUCUCACAAAGUUGGAUUGGCUUUUCAGAAAUUAAGGGGUUAUUAGCUGAGAAUUUUGACUUUCAACCUUGUAAAUAUAGGAAACAAACAAAAAAGAGGGGGCUUAGAUGACAAAAAGAAUUAUAAAUAUUUGUUUAUAAUUUUAUGGGCUAUGAGAGAAAAGCCUUUUUUCCCCUAAAUUAUAGUAUAGUGUAAUACAACAAAAUAAGCAUUUACACUCAGUUCAAAUUCUGUUCAAACAUUAUAUAACAUGGUUUAGCCUAAAAUACAAUCAAGUCUAGAAGUGUGUUGUGAUUAGGUCCAUCUUGUGUUACACCAUAUGAAUACUAGGAAAUUUUUUUAGAAAUUUGAAGGCAUGCCUGUACCCCAUAUAAGCGGCCUUGUUCCUUCUUAAUUGGAAUUGCAAGCACUAUCUACUGAAUUUUACCACAUUUUUAGUAUACUGCACCUUGCUAAGCUAAGAAGGUAAAGAGGUUCACUUAAGAAGUUCUGUCUGAAUUGAUUCUUCCCUAGAGCCUGGCUUAUUUUAUUUUAAUUUUUUUUUUAUUCCUACUACUACUGCUCACCCUAACCCGCCAAACUGGGAGGGUCAAAAAAAAAAAAAAAAAGAUUCCAGGGGAAUAGAUAUUGUACAAGUCAAGGUUAAAAAAGGGCAGUGUAUACAUUGCUUAUAAAGUCUUACCUCAUGCUGGGCUCAAUUAAGAGAAAAGCAAAUUAAGGUGCAGCAGAUGAAUAAGUAUCUUACCUCAAGCAUGAGCUCUUCAGAUUGAGUAAUACACCCAGUAAGGUGGCAUUCUCAGAGCCUAAACAAUCUUUUUAAAGGUCUAAUACCAAUUUUCUUAUUUGGUUUCAAUAAAUAUAAGCCACCUCUCCUGUUACAAUUCCAUUCUUGUUUCUUCCACACAAAUUUUUGACAUAUAUUAGUAAUUAAAAAUUAUAAUUUAAGUGGCAUCAUGUUUAUUUCUCAAAUUAGAGUGAAUCAAAUGUAAUUUAGAAGAUUUCUUAGCCCGUUUUCCACAUAUUACAACAGAGAUUCAUUUGGGUUUUGCUUCCAAAUCUGGGCCUAGAGGACCACCAGUAUUGAGGUCAUCUACCAGCACAACUGUGGAUUUAAUAGUAGCACCAGAGUAAAGAAUAGUAUGUGCCUGCAUGAUUGGGUGGCCGUCUUGCCCCAAAGGCCUCAAACACAGCACCUUCUGGUUUAACACCAAGCAUAGGUUCUCCUUCUCUGGUAAGGGUAGCAUCUAUCUCAUUCGUGCACAUUUUUGAACAGACAUAUUUUAGCACAGUUACCAAUGUUUGCCUUAGGUUUUUGUAGGCUGCUUUGUCCAACUCUUUAUUUUAUUUUGGUAUAAUUUUAUCUUCAUCUCCCUCUUUUCCAUGGAGAAUUUAUUUACAAAUCUGUAUAUGUGCAAUGAAAAGAUAGUCUCAUGAUGGGACAUGAGCGUUGAGCUCAACGAAUGACAUGGGAAACUGAAAGAUCACAUGAGCUAAUCAUAUUAAACAGAAUAAUUAGACUGGCCACUUUAAUUAUUAUAAAGAAUACAUCCUUUUUUUUUCCUACAUAAAAUCCUUUUCUCACCAGUUCAGAAGUAUUUUUUUCUUAAGAUUAUCAUUUUAGAAUGUGAGGAGUUGGUCAUGUAGUAAAUGAUAAACAUCCUUUUUUUUCAUUUCCAUUAAAUUCAGAUCAACAGCCUUUUGUCUGGCACCUAUAUCAUGACAGAUGUUGGUAGUAUGAAGACAAAUUAGCUAAGGUCACAACAAUGAAGAAGGCAACAGUUUUGCUGGGUGGCAAUAUGUGAAUAAAUAAAUUGUAGCAAAUACUCUAUAAGACAUGUAAAACAGGUUAUUCACAAAUGUAAUGACAGUGGUUGACUUACUGAAACUAAAAAUGAAUUAAAAAUAUGUGCAACAGGAAAGAGAAUUAUGGGAAGAGGACACAGUAGAAAGUAUCAGGAAUCUGUCUCCCCUUGACAAUUUUACUGAUGGAAUCUAUAUGAUGUAACUAUUUUGGAAUUCUAGUGAAGGUGUCAAACUUUCCAAAAAAGGAUUAGAUGGUAAACUGUAGUUAAUAUUGACCAAUUUAAAGUCUCAGCACAGCAGCAGCUACCUAACUACUGCUGAGAGUCAUAUGGCAUACAUAGUAGUUCUGUGUACAUUCCAGAAGCAAGUUUGCACACAGUUUGAGGGAGACAGGUUGAACCAAAAGGAUCCUGUUCUCCAAACAUUAGGGAUCUAUACUCAGAUUGGUGAAUACUGCUUCUCAUAAUGGAGAUGCAGACAAGAUGUGGCAGUCACUUUUGUUAUAUCUUACCCCAUUUUGGCUGCACCUUACCUUAUUGUUGCUACACUUUACUGGGAUUGUUACUCGCCCCACCCCUUCUAGCUAAAUUAACUUACAGGGAUACUUAAGAGCCAGCACACUUCCUCUUCAUUUUUCUUGUUCUACUUGUGGAGCCAGAUACUGAAAACUAAUAUAUCAAAAGCAAAUACAUAUACAGGAGAAGUUAGAAAGUUACCUGAGAAAAUUUUAAGUUUAUACCUCAGCCUGAUUCUCCAUACAGAGGUAGCUAUAAUAAUUUAUUUUUAAAAUGCAGAUCCAGUACUACUUCAAUAAAACUU
RNAcentral lists this long non-coding RNA (4050 nucleotides) under Sus scrofa (pig). RNAcentral describes it as "lncRNA (ENSSSCG00000058664.1)". The record is from RNAcentral. Lineage: Eukaryota; Metazoa; Chordata; Mammalia; Artiodactyla; Suidae.